This 429-nucleotide ribosomal RNA is filed under the name Gemmatimonadota bacterium. Its description in RNAcentral is "Gemmatimonadetes bacterium partial 16S ribosomal RNA". It matches the Rfam family "Bacterial small subunit ribosomal RNA", at positions 355 to 776 of the family's 1533-position model. The record is from RNAcentral. Lineage: Bacteria; Pseudomonadati; Gemmatimonadota.
UAGGGAAUCUUCGGCAAUGGACGAAAGUCUGACCGAGCAACGCCGCGUGAGUGAAGAAGGUUUUCGGAUCGUAAAACUCUGUUGUUAGAGAAGAACAAGGACGUUAGUAACUGAACGUCCCCUGACGGUAUCUAACCAGAAAGCCACGGCCAACAACGUGCCAGCAGCCGCGGUAAUACGUAGGUGGCAAGCGUUGUCCGGAUUUAUUGGGCGUAAAGCGAGCGCAGGCGGUUUCUUAAGUCUGAUGUGAAAGCCCCCGGCUCAACCGGGGAGGGUCAUUGGAAACUGGGAGACUUGAGUGCAGAAGAGGAGAGUGGAAUUCCAUGUGUAGCGGUGAAAUGCGUAGAUAUAUGGAGGAACACCAGUGGCGAAGGCGGCUCUCUGGUCUGUAACUGACGCUGAGGCUCGAAAGCGUGGGGAGCAAACAGG